RNAcentral lists this ribosomal RNA (427 nucleotides) under uncultured bacterium. Its description in RNAcentral is "bacterial SSU rRNA". It matches the Rfam family "Bacterial small subunit ribosomal RNA", at positions 355 to 774 of the family's 1533-position model. The record is from RNAcentral.
UGGGGAAUUUUGGACAAUGGGCGCAAGCCUGAUCCAGCCAUGCCGCGUGCAGGAUGAAGGCCCUCGGGUUGUAAACUGCUUUUGUACGGAACGAAAAGCCUCUUUCUAAUAAAGAGGGGUGAUGACGGUACCGUAAGAAUAAGCACCGGCUAACUACGUGCCAGCAACCGCGGUAAUACGUAGGGUGCGAGCGUUAAUCGGAAUUACUGGGCGUAAAGCGUGCGCAGGCGGUCUUGCAAGACAGUGGUGAAAUCCCCGGGCUCAACCUGGGAACUGCCAUUGUGACUGCAAGGCUGGAGUACGGCAGAGGGGGAUGGAAUUCCGCGUGUAGCAGUGAAAUGCGUAGAUAUGCGGAGGAACACCGAUGGCGAAGGCAGUCCCCUGGGCCUGUACUGACGCUCAUGCACGAAAGCGUGGGGAGCAAACA